GAUGAACGCUGGCGGUGUGCCUAAUACAUGCAAGUCGAGCGCAGGAAGCUGACGGAACUCUUCGGAGGGAAGGCAGCGGAAUGAGCGGCGGACGGGUGAGUAACACGUAAGGAACCUGCCUCAAGGAUUGGGAUAACUCCGAGAAAUCGGAGCUAAUACCGGAUAGUUCAACGGACCGCAUGGUCCGCUGAUGAAAGGCGCUCCGGCGUCACCUUGAGAUGGCCUUGCGGUGCAUUAGCUAGUUGGUGGGGUAACGGCCCACCAAGGCGACGAUGCGUAGCCGACCUGAGAGGGUGGUCGGCCACACUGGGACUGAGACACGGCCCAGACUCCUACGGGAGGCAGCAGUAGGGAAUCUUCCACAAUGGACGAAAGUCUGAUGGAGCAACGCCGCGUGAGUGAUGAAGGUUUUCGGAUCGUAAAACUCUGUUGUAAGGGAAGAACACGUACGAGAGGAAAUGCUCGUACCUUGACGGUACCUUACGAGAAAGCCACGGCUAACUACGUGCCAGCCGCCGCUGUAA
This 524-nucleotide ribosomal RNA is filed under the name uncultured bacterium. RNAcentral describes it as "partial 16S ribosomal RNA". It matches the Rfam family "Bacterial small subunit ribosomal RNA", at positions 28 to 523 of the family's 1533-position model. The record is from RNAcentral.